This 23-nucleotide non-coding RNA is filed under the name Arabidopsis thaliana (thale cress). Lineage: Eukaryota; Viridiplantae; Streptophyta; Magnoliopsida; Brassicales; Brassicaceae. The record is from RNAcentral.
ACCAACCCAUAUUAGGUGACACC